RNAcentral lists this long non-coding RNA (595 nucleotides) under Numida meleagris (helmeted guineafowl). RNAcentral's name for it is "lncRNA (ENSNMEG00000005776.1)". The record is from RNAcentral. Lineage: Eukaryota; Metazoa; Chordata; Aves; Galliformes; Numididae.
AUCCCCUCCUUUCUCUUCUUGUUGUCUGCUUGAAAAAGUUGAAUCACAAGUUUGUAAGCGCAGAAGAAAAAAUAAAAUACUGCCUCUAGAGCUCUCAUCAAAAGCUUGCUUUCAACAAAUAUUCUAAUGAGAGAUUUUAAACAGUUUACAAGCCAGGUGUGAUGAAGAUUUUAUUCCAAUGUACUUCAGAGACUAGGGCCUGAUUUUUGAAACUGCUCUUGGAGAAAUGUUGCCAGCUGUAGUUGUGCCAAAGAAGAUACCCAGGCUCAGAAAGAAACAAGCCACAGCCAAUGAACUUAUUUCACGAGCUGGCCAAAUGGACAGCUACCACAUAUGCCCUGCCCUUUAUAGAUUUCUGUACCUCUGUGAAACUAAAUUAAGGAGCAGGAGAAGAAGAAAAAUGAGAGUGAAACCCCUGCUUCAGGACAAUGAGUCAGGAGGCAAGAUACACAAUUUAUUCUUGACAGAAGUCAAAGGAAGAAAUAACUACAAUCUAACAGCUCUUGGACAAAGAAUUGGCCUUCACAUCCAGCCCACGCACUCAAUUUGGACUCCUGUCAUAGAUUUUCACCAGAGGUCAAGGCAGCCUGGAUAG